AUGGAGAAGAGAUCUAUUUCUCUUUUAAAUGUUGUUGAUGAUAUUACAUGUCCUGAUGCUCUUUUAUCUUUGCUUCCAUGUCUUCCUUAUUUGCAAGGAACCGGCCCUGUUACACCAACUAGUGCUUGUUGUGCAGGUGCAAAUAAUUUAAAUCAAAAGGCAGACACCACUCAAAGUCGAAGAGAUGUAUGCAAUUGUCUCAAACCUGCUGCAGCAAGAUUUGGAGUUAAUCCCGACAAAUCAAAACAAUUGCCAAGCCUCUGUAAAAUUAAUCUAUCGGUUUCAUUUGAUCCUAGCAUCGAUUGCAACACGUAA
Vicia faba (fava bean) is the source of this 315-nucleotide non-coding RNA. Lineage: Eukaryota; Viridiplantae; Streptophyta; Magnoliopsida; Fabales; Fabaceae. The record is from the annotation of a GenBank genome assembly.